RNAcentral lists this transfer RNA (77 nucleotides) under Clostridioides difficile. RNAcentral describes it as "tRNA-Met(cat)". It matches the Rfam family "tRNA". From Rfam's summary of the family: Transfer RNA (tRNA) molecules are approximately 80 nucleotides in length. Their secondary structure includes four short double-helical elements and three loops (D, anti-codon, and T loops). The record is from RNAcentral. Lineage: Bacteria; Bacillati; Bacillota; Clostridia; Peptostreptococcales; Peptostreptococcaceae. RNAcentral also lists the same sequence under 2 other names.
AGGGAUAUAGCUCAGGUGGCUAGAGCGUUCGGUUCAUACCCGAAAGGUCAUAGGUUCGACUCCUAUUAUUCCUACCA